UAUGAGGGUUUCGGACACCGUAGAAGUGUCGGUGUUUGCACAGGGUUUCUUCUUAACAUUGUUCAUGGAAAAUCAAGAAAGUUACAGAUGUAAACGGAAUGGGAAACAUAUUGGGAAAAACUGCAAUUUAAAAGCAAAUGGAAUCAAAGAGUUAAUCUCAAUAAUUGCCAAUAGUGACCUUAGGUGUCUGUAUGAUUCCAAGCAGCAAGAAGAAGUUACAAAAAGGGCUGAAAUUUCUUGGCUUUUGCAUUGAAUCCUGAGUGAGAAUGAGAUUUCUUGCAUUGGGUUCGCACUCUAGAUUUUGAUUUCUCCGACUGGUGGAUUGGAAGUUUUUAAUUUCUUGAGUGGGUUUUGAAAAAAAAAA
RNAcentral lists this long non-coding RNA (364 nucleotides) under Olea europaea (common olive). RNAcentral describes it as "long non-coding RNA (OEUR_LNC006829)". Lineage: Eukaryota; Viridiplantae; Streptophyta; Magnoliopsida; Lamiales; Oleaceae. The record is from RNAcentral.